This 1488-nucleotide ribosomal RNA is filed under the name uncultured bacterium. RNAcentral's name for it is "bacterial SSU rRNA". It matches the Rfam family "Bacterial small subunit ribosomal RNA". The record is from RNAcentral.
UGGCUCAGCUUUAACGCUGGCGGCAGGCCUAACACAUGCAAGUCGAACGGUAACAGGAAGCAGCUUGCUGCUUUGCUGACGAGUGGCGGACGGGUGAGUAAUGUCUGGGAAACUGCCUGAUGGAGGGGGAUAACUACUGGAAACGGUGGCUAAUACCGCAUAACGUCGCAAGACCAAAGAGGGGGACCUUCGGGCCUCUUGCCAUCAGAUGUGCCCAGAUGGGAUUAGCUUGUUGGUGAGGUAACGGCUCACCAAGGCGACGAUCCCUAGCUGGUCUGAGAGGAUGACCAGCCACACUGGAACUGAGACACGGUCCAGACUCCUACGGGAGGCAGCAGUGGGGAAUAUUGCACAAUGGGCGCAAGCCUGAUGCAGCCAUGCCGCGUGUAUGAAGAAGGCCUUCGGGUUGUAAAGUACUUUCAGCGGGGAGGAAGGUGUUGCGGUUAAUAACCGCAGCAAUUGACGUUACCCGCAGAAGAAGCACCGGCUAACUCCGUGCCAGCAGCCGCGGUAAUACGGAGGGUGCAAGCGUUAAUCGGAAUUACUGGGCGUAAAGCGCACGCAGGCGGUCUGUCAAGUCGGAUGUGAAAUCCCCGGGCUCAACCUGGGAACUGCAUUCGAAACUGGCAGGCUUGAGUCUUGUAGAGGGGGGUAGAAUUCCAGGCGUAGCGGUGAAAUGCGUAGAGAUCUGGAGGAAUACCGGUGGCGAAGGCGGCCCCCUGGACAAAGACUGACGCUCAGGUGCGAAAGCGUGGGGAGCAAACAGGAUUAGAUACCCUGGUAGUCCACGCCGUAAACGAUGUCUACUUGGAGGUUGUGCCCUUGAGGCGUGGCUUCCGGAGCUAACGCGUUAAGUAGACCGCCUGGGGAGUACGGCCGCAAGGUUAAAACUCAAAUGAAUUGACGGGGGCCCGCACAAGCGGUGGAGCAUGUGGUUUAAUUCGAUGCAACGCGAAGAACCUUACCUGGUCUUGACAUCCACAGAAGAAUCCAGAGAUGGAUUUGUGCCUUCGGGAACUGUGAGACAGGUGCUGCAUGGCUGUCGUCAGCUCGUGUUGUGAAAUGUUGGGUUAAGUCCCGCAACGAGCGCAACCCUUAUCCUUUGUUGCCAGCGAUUAGGUCGGGAACUCAAAGGAGACUGCCAGUGAUAAACUGGAGGAAGGUGGGGAUGACGUCAAGUCAUCAUGGCCCUUACGACCAGGGCUACACACGUGCUACAAUGGCGCAUACAAAGAGAAGCGACCUCGCGAGAGCAAGCGGACCUCAUAAAGUGCGUCGUAGUCCGGAUUGGAGUCUGCAACUCGACUCCAUGAAGUCGGAAUCGCUAGUAAUCGUGGAUCAGAAUGCCACGGUGAAUACGUUCCCGGGCCUUGUACACACCGCCCGUCACACCAUGGGAGUGGGUUGCAAAAGAAGUAGGUAGCUUAACCUUCGGGAGGGCGCUUACCACUUUGUGAUUCAUGACUGGGGUGAAGUCGUAACAAGGUA